AUGAUCGUCAUCUUCUGCUUAAUGUUCAACAUGAUUCACGUUUUAGGCUCUUCCCUCAGCGAUCGGGUCCAUCAGACUCCGGCUGAUUUGUUCCACGAGCCCGGAGGAAACGCCGUCAUCAGCUGCACACACAGCAUCGACAACUACGAUGUAAUCCUCUGGUACAAACACUCGACGAGCAGCCAGAUGCAGCUCCUGGGAUACAACGAUGCCGUAAACGGAUACCCAGAGCCGGGGUUAAAGGUGAAAAUCAGUGGCAGCGCAAGCAAAGACAAGAUCAGCACUCUGACGGUGGAGGAUCUGAGCGAGAGCAGCAGCGCCAUUUAUUUCUGCGCCGCUAAAUACCACAGUGCUUCAUGUUAA
Non-coding RNA from Xiphophorus hellerii (green swordtail), 363 nucleotides. The record is from the annotation of a RefSeq genome assembly. Lineage: Eukaryota; Metazoa; Chordata; Actinopteri; Cyprinodontiformes; Poeciliidae.